UACAGAGGUCCCGAGCGUUGUUCGGAUUCAUUGGGCGUAAAGGGUGCGUAGGCGGCGCGGUAAGUCGGGUGUGAAAUCUCGGAGCUUAACUCCGAAACUGCAUUCGAUACUGCCGUGCUUGAGGACUGGAGAGGAGACUGGAAUUUACGGUGUAGCGGUGAAAUGCGUAGAUAUCGUAAGGAAGACCAGUGGCGAAGGCGGGUCUCUGGACAGUUCCUGACGCUGAGACGCGAAAGCGUGGGGAGCGAACAGG
This 253-nucleotide ribosomal RNA is filed under the name uncultured bacterium. RNAcentral's name for it is "partial 16S ribosomal RNA". It matches the Rfam family "Bacterial small subunit ribosomal RNA", at positions 524 to 776 of the family's 1533-position model. The record is from RNAcentral.